This 465-nucleotide ribosomal RNA is filed under the name uncultured bacterium. RNAcentral's name for it is "partial 16S ribosomal RNA". It matches the Rfam family "Bacterial small subunit ribosomal RNA", at positions 28 to 507 of the family's 1533-position model. The record is from RNAcentral.
GAUGAACGCUGGCGGCGUGCUUAACACAUGCAAGUCGAACGGAAAGGCUCCUGCUUGCAGGGGUACUCGAGUGGCGAACGGGUGAGUAACACGUGGGUGAUCUGCCCUGCACUUCGGGAUAAGCCUGGGAAACUGGGUCUAAUGCCGGAUAGGACGAUGGUUUGGAUGCCAUUGUGGAAAGUUUUUCGGUGUGGGAUGAGCUCGCGGCCUAUCAGCUUGUUGGUGGGGUAAUGGCCUACCAAGGCGUCGACGGGUAGCCGGCCUGAGAGGGUGUACGGCCACAUUGGGACUGAGAUACGGCCCAGACUCCUACGGGAGGCAGCAGUGGGGAAUAUUGCACAAUGGGCGCAAGCCUGAUGCAGCGACGCCGCGUGGGGGAUGACGGCCUUCGGGUUGUAAACUCCUUUCGCUAGGGACGAAGCGCAAGUGACGGUACCUGGAGAAGAAGCACCGGCUAACUACGUG